Non-coding RNA from Salvia hispanica, 3168 nucleotides. NCBI's taxonomy places the organism in Eukaryota, Viridiplantae, Streptophyta, Magnoliopsida, Lamiales, Lamiaceae. The record is from RefSeq and is a predicted model, not a curated record.
CGUUCUUCUCUCUUUCAACACACAAGUCAGCAACCGUCUUCUCUCUCUGACAGCUCUUUGUUGGUGUUUCCAAUGCGUCGCUUUUGAAUGAUCCGAUUGAGGAGUGAAUUAUCUCUUCUUCGCUUUCGCGAAUACUUCAUUUCCCUAGGGAGAAUAUGGCUAUGGAAGUCACCCAAGUUCUUCUGAGUGCACAAGCCUUUGAUUCAACAGUAAGGAAACAUGCAGAAGAAACCUUGAAACAGUUUCAGGAGCAAAAUCUUCAUGUGUUUUUAUUAUCACUUUCUGGAGAGCUUGCUAGUGAGGAGAAGCCUGUUGAAAGCCGUAAACUAGCAGGUUUAAUUCUUAAAAAUGCAUUGGAUGCAAAGGAACAGCAAAGGAAGUAUGAACUUGUGCAAAGAUGGCUAUCACUGGACAUGGCUGUGAAGAGCCAGAUCAGGGCAUUCUUGUUACAGACGCUCUCCUCUAAUUCACCUGAAGCCAGGUCAACGGCAUCACAAGUCAUUGCAAAGGUUGCAGGCAUCGAACUGCCUCAGAAGCAAUGGCCUGAGCUCAUAGGUUCCCUCUUGUCCAAUGUUCACCAGGUUCCUCCUCGUGUUAAGCAAGCUACCCUUGAAACACUUGGAUACAUGUGUGAAGAAAUUGUUCCAGACGUUAUUGACCAAGAUCAAGUGAAUAAGAUACUUACUGCAUUGGUUCAAGGCAUGAAUGCAAAUGAUGGUAGUACGGAAGUCCGGCUUGCUGCCACUAGAGCUUUAUAUAAUGCUCUCGGAUUUUCCCAAGUUAAUUUUUCUAAUGAUAUGGAACGUGAUUACAUUAUGAGAGUUGUUUGUGAGGCCACACACUCAACAGAGGUUAAAAUUCGGCAGGCUGCAUAUGAGUGUUUGGUUUCUAUUGGGUCAACAUACUACGAUAAAUUAGCUCCAUAUAUUCAAGUUAUUUUCAACAUCACAUCAAAAGCUGUCAGAGAAGAUGAGGAACCGGUGGCUCUCCAGGCAAUUGAAUUUUGGAGCUCAAUUUGUGACGAGGAAAUUGAUCUUUUGGAUGAGUAUGGAGGUGAGGUUACAUCAGAUUCUGACGUUCCUUGCUAUUAUUUUAUAAAGCAGGCAAUACCUGCGCUUGUUCCAAUGUUAUUGGAGACACUUCUUAAGCAAGAAGAAGAUCAAGAUCAGGAUGAAGGCUUUUGGAAUAUUUCAAUGGCUGGUGGAACAUGCCUUGGUUUGGUGGCCCGAACAGUUGGUGAUGACAUUGUACCGCUUGUAAUGCCGUUCAUUGAAGAAAACAUUACUAAAGCUGAUUGGAGGCAUAGAGAAGCUGCCACCUAUGCAUUUGGUUCAAUAUUGGAAGGUCCUUCACCUGACAAACUAACCCCUAUUGUGAAUGUUGCUCAAAAUUUCAUGCUCACUGCUUUGACUAAAGAUCCAAAUAGCCAUGUAAAGGAUACAACUGCUUGGACCCUGGGUCGAAUAUUUGAGUAUCUCCAUGGCUCAAUUGCAGGGACACCCAUUAUUACACCAGAAAACUGCCAGCAGAUAAUCACCGUUCUCCUUCAGAGUAUGAAAGAUGCUCCUAAUGUGGCUGAGAAAGCUUGUGGUGCUCUCUAUUUUCUAGCCCAAGGAUUUGAGGAUGUGGGCGCAACAUCACCUUUGACACCUUAUUUACAAGAAAUCAUCCAGUCCCUUCUAAAUGUCAGUCACAGAGAGGAUGCUGAGAAAUCACGACUUCGGACAGCUGCCUAUGAGACUUUAAAUGAGGUAGUGAGGUGUUCCACUGAUGAAACAGCCCGCUUAGUAGUGGAACUUGUUCAAGUCAUCAUGACUGAACUUCACAACAGUCUUGAAGCACAGAUAUUUUCAUCUGACGCGAGAGGAAAACAGAACGAUUUGCAUGGCCUUCUUUGUGGGUGCUUACAAGUCAUAAUCCAAAAAUUGGGGGCUUUCAAAACCACUAAAUAUGACUUGAUGCAAUGCGCCGAUCAGAUUAUGAAUCUUUUCCUACGAGUAUUCGCAUGUAGAAGUGCCACUGUCCAUGAGGAAGCAAUGCUUGCCAUAGGUGCUCUUGCCUACGUGUCUGGUCCUAGCUUUGCAAAGUACAUGCCAGACUUUUACAAGGACCUAGAGAUGGGACUUCAGAAUUUUGAGGAGUACCAAGUCUGUGCUGUCACUGUUGGCGUUGUGGGGGAUAUCUGCAGGGCGUUGGAGGAUAAGAUUCUGCCUUACUGUGAUGGAAUGAUGACUCUGCUUCUCAAAGAUUUGUCAAGCAACCAGUUGCAUCGGUCUGUGAAACCUCCAAUCUUUUCUUGCUUUGGAGACAUAGCACUAGCUAUUGGAGAAAAUUUCGAGAAAUAUUUGAUGUAUACGAUGCCAAUGCUACAGAGUGCUGCAGAAUUGUCUGUUCACGCAUCAGGUGUUGAUGAUGAAAUUAUAGAGUAUACUAAUCUUCUAAGGAAUGGGAUUUUAGAGGCAUAUUCUGGGAUACUUCAGGGUUUCAAGAACUCUCCGAAAACCCAACUCCUAAUUCCGUACUCUCCUCAUAUCCUGCAAUUCCUGGAUAGCUUGUAUCUUGAACAAGAUAUGGAUGAUAUUGUGAUUAAAGCUGCUAUUGGUGUCCUUGGAGAUCUAGCAGAUACUCUGGGAAGUACUGCUGGUACUCUUAUUCAGCAAUCUCUGUCAAGCAAAGACUUUCUAAAUGAAUGCUUAUCUUCCGAUGACCAUUUGAUUAAAGAAGCUGCUGAGUGGGCCAGGCUGGCCAUUAGUCGUGCUAUAUCCGUUUGAGGUGGUGUUCACUUGGUUCAUAUUGCCUACCUGCAUUCAUAUGGUCGUGUCAGAUAAGGUCAAAAGUUAGACAAUCAGAGAAUUCCAUUUGCAUUUUCAGAUUUCACACGGGUGAUCUUGUCAAAAUGAUGUCUUCGAACUUGCUCGUUGCUCUUCUGCUCAUACAGGUACAGGCUUCAUUCUCGUCAAAGUCGAAUGGGAAAUGCUUUUUUGUCUCUUGCUUAUCUCCUAGGCGUCAUAGCAAUACAUAGGAGUAUAACAUUAUCUAUAUUCUAUAUAUGGUAAAUGGAGUAUGAUUUUCCCCUUGUGUAGUGUUAGAACUUCUCUUUGUAAAGCUUGUGAAUGAUCCAAAAUUGUCAAGUUUAAUUUCUGAAUUUGUUGAAACUCUUGAGUUUAA